RNAcentral lists this transfer RNA (74 nucleotides) under Clostridiales bacterium. RNAcentral describes it as "tRNA-OTHER". Lineage: Bacteria; Bacillati; Bacillota; Clostridia; Eubacteriales. The record is from RNAcentral.
GUGCAACACAGGAAAUUGAUAUUUCUCAACUCCUAAGCGGAAGGCCCCGGGUUCGAAUCCCGGCGGGAACGCCA